Molecule: transfer RNA, 75 nt
Filed under: Cronartium ribicola 11-2
Lineage: Eukaryota; Fungi; Basidiomycota; Pucciniomycetes; Pucciniales; Coleosporiaceae
Description: tRNA-Asp (GTC) (tRNA-Asp-GTC-4-1)
Rfam family: tRNA
About the family: Transfer RNA (tRNA) molecules are approximately 80 nucleotides in length. Their secondary structure includes four short double-helical elements and three loops (D, anti-codon, and T loops).
Source: RNAcentral
UCUUUGUUAGUAUAGUGUGGGUCAGUAUACCCACUUGUCAUGCAGGCGACCUGGGUUCAAUUCCCAGACAGAGAG